Molecule: ribosomal RNA, 431 nt
Filed under: uncultured bacterium
Lineage: Bacteria
Description: partial 16S ribosomal RNA
Rfam family: Bacterial small subunit ribosomal RNA
Source: RNAcentral
CCUACGGGAGGCAGCAGUAGGGAAUAUUGGUCAAUGGAGGCAACUCUGAACCAGCCAUGCCGCGUGUAGGAAGAAGGGUUCUGCGUUGUAAACUACUUUUGUGAACGAUUGUGUACCAAUAGAAUAAGCCACGGCUAACUACGUGCCAGCAGCCGCGGUAAUACGUAGGUGGCAAGCGUUGUCCGGAUUUAUUGGGUUUAAAGGGUGCGUAGGCGGCUUGAUAAGUCAGUGGUGAAAGCCGAUCGCUUAACGAUCGAACUGCCAUUGAUACUGCCAGGCUUGAGUAUAGAUGAGGUAGGCGGAAUUGACAGUGUAGCGGUGAAAUGCAUAGAUAUUGUCAAGAACACCAAUUGCGAAGGCAGCUUACUAAUUUAACUGACGCUGAGGCACGAAAGUGCGGGGAUCAAACAGGAUUAGAUACCCUUGUAGUC